This is a long non-coding RNA of Hyla sarda, 217 nucleotides long. RefSeq lists it as uncharacterized. The transcript is spliced from 3 exons. Lineage: Eukaryota; Metazoa; Chordata; Amphibia; Anura; Hylidae. The record is from RefSeq and is a predicted model, not a curated record.
AUCGGCCGGACAGACGGUCUCCUCACAGGUGAGGUGAAUAUCUUGGUGUUGGAGCAACAUAACAUCACCUUAGACUUAGAAAUGCAUUCUGGUGUCAAACCUUCCCCAGUAGGGGCUGCUGCUGAAAAAAAUGUAUAGCCAGAUGGAUGAUUGUCUUGAAGAAAAAAGAUUAUCUCGAAGAGAUGUCCACAUCCAGAAAGUUAUUCCCAGAACUGAC